CACCAAAGUUUUUUGGACUAUGCUUGUAUAGUAAAAAAAUGAUAUAUUUCAGAAUGGAUUGAAUAUGUAUCACUAAUAACCCAAUCUGAAGCAAUGUUUUUUGAUUCUAGUAAUAAAUUUUAUAUGCCUAAUUAGUCGAUUACAACUCACAUCAGGUUAUUAAUAAAAUCUUACAUGAAACUGAUUAUUGGUAACUUUUAGAUA
This 204-nucleotide long non-coding RNA is filed under the name Elaeis guineensis (African oil palm). RNAcentral describes it as "long non-coding RNA (EGUI_LNC018184)". Lineage: Eukaryota; Viridiplantae; Streptophyta; Magnoliopsida; Arecales; Arecaceae. The record is from RNAcentral.